CACUAGAACAUAUGCUGGAGUUUUGUCUCACUGUCUCCUCUCCUCCUCAGGUUUCCAUGGGUAUAGCUGUUUUUGAUCUCAGUUCAUCUGCCUUACUGCAGUGUUUUUCUUGCUGUUGGAGGGGUUCUGCUAUUUCUGCCUCUCCUUUUCACCCUGCAGCCCCAAUUCCUUCUCCUUUUCCCCAGAAAGGUACUGGGGAAUUACAGUAGCAAAAAUAACAGUUUGUAGAGGCUCAAAAUAAUUUAUUCUCCCAAUGGCUUCCUUCUUUUUACUUUUGUUCAUUAUCCUAGAGACCUCCCUUGCUUCCCUUUUUGGCUCUCUCCCUUGCAUCUCCUGUGCUUCCCAUUUCUGCAGGCCCUAGAGCUAGACACGUGCCUGGGCUCAGGCCACCUGCUACAGAUGUUUGAGAUAUAGCCUAGAUAUAAUAAGGUGCUUGUCCACCUCUGCUACUUACAAUAUCACAAACAGAAGGAAAAAAAUUUCUACACUCCAAAUAUAUUUCUACACAUCUACGUUUCUAUAUUCCUCCAGGUGACUUCAUUUGCCACUUUCUGAUUGCUCUGCUAAAGCACAUGUAACCUGCUCAGUUGGUUCUCCUGCUGGAGUAUCUCCAUGCUGCUGCUGGCCAGCCCAUGCAGGCAGUGCCCUCCCUGAUACUCACAACUCAGCUGCUCUUCUUGCCUUAUUUAAGCAGCCAUUCAAUAUAUACUUUGAAUGAUUCUGAGGUCCGUUCAGCAGGAACUGCUGUGGUAGUAAGAAGUGUCAGUUGCACCAGCCUCCUUGUCCUUUCCCCUUCUUGGUUUUCCAGAGGAACAGUGGCAUACAGUGAAAACAUAGCUGAACUUCCCAUGCAAGCAGUCCAUCUGGAAGUUAUAACUGCUGAGCCAAGAGAAUAA
RNAcentral lists this long non-coding RNA (896 nucleotides) under Anas platyrhynchos platyrhynchos (common mallard). RNAcentral's name for it is "lncRNA (ENSAPLG00000018751.1)". The record is from RNAcentral. Lineage: Eukaryota; Metazoa; Chordata; Aves; Anseriformes; Anatidae.